This 427-nucleotide ribosomal RNA is filed under the name uncultured bacterium. Its description in RNAcentral is "bacterial SSU rRNA". It matches the Rfam family "Bacterial small subunit ribosomal RNA", at positions 355 to 774 of the family's 1533-position model. The record is from RNAcentral. RNAcentral also lists the same sequence under 1 other name.
UGGGGAAUAUUGCACAAUGGGCGCAAGCCUGAUGCAGCCAUGCCGCGUGUGUGAAGAAGGCCUUCGGGUUGUAAAGCACUUUCAGCGGGGAGGAAGGCGUUAAGGUUAAUAACCUUGGCGAUUGACGUUACCCGCAGAAGAAGCACCGGCUAACUCCGUGCCAGCAGCCGCGGUAAUACGGAGGGUGCAAGCGUUAAUCGGAAUUACUGGGCGUAAAGCGCACGCAGGCGGUCUGUCAAGUCGGAUGUGAAAUCCCCGGGCUCAACCUGGGAACUGCAUUCGAAACUGGCAGGCUAGAGUCUUGUAGAGGGGGGUAGAAUUCCAGGUGUAGCGGUGAAAUGCGUAGAGAUCUGGAGGAAUACCGGUGGCGAAGGCGGCCCCCUGGACAAAGACUGACGCUCAGGUGCGAAAGCGUGGGGAGCAAACA